UCCCUACGGGAGGCAGCAGUGAGGAAUAUUGGUCAAUGGGCGCGAGCCUGAACCAGCCAAGUCGCGUGAGGGAAGACGGUCCUAUGGAUUGUAAACCUCUUUUGUCGGGGAGCAAAAGACGCCACGUGUGGCGUUCCGAGAGUACCCGAAGAAAAAGCAUCGGCUAACUCCGUGCCAGCAGCCGCGGUAAUACGGAGGAUGCGAGCGUUAUCCGGAUUUAUUGGGUUUAAAGGGUGCGCAGGCGGACCAUCAAGUCAGCGGUAAAAUCGUGGGGCCCAACCCCAUCCCGCCGUUGAAACUGGCGG
RNAcentral lists this ribosomal RNA (305 nucleotides) under uncultured bacterium. RNAcentral's name for it is "bacterial SSU rRNA". It matches the Rfam family "Bacterial small subunit ribosomal RNA", at positions 335 to 639 of the family's 1533-position model. The record is from RNAcentral.